This 863-nucleotide ribosomal RNA is filed under the name uncultured Polynucleobacter sp. Its description in RNAcentral is "bacterial SSU rRNA". It matches the Rfam family "Bacterial small subunit ribosomal RNA", at positions 669 to 1533 of the family's 1533-position model. Lineage: Bacteria; Pseudomonadati; Pseudomonadota; Betaproteobacteria; Burkholderiales; Burkholderiaceae. The record is from RNAcentral.
CAGCGGGUAGCAGUGAAAUGCGUAGGAGAUUGUGGAGGAUUACCAAUGGCGAAGGCAGCCCCCUGGGAUAAUACUGACGCUCAUGCACGAAAGCGUGGGGAGCAAACAGGAUUAGAUACCUGGUAGUCCACGCCCUAAACGAUGCUGACUAGUUGUUCGGGAAUUUAUUCCUGAGUAACGUAGCUAACGCGUGAAGUCAGCCGCCUGGGGAGUACGGUCGCAAGAUUAAAACUCAAAGGAAUUGACGGGGACCCGCACAAGCGGUGGAUGAUGUGGAUUAAUUCGAUGCAACGCGAAAAACCUUACCUACCCUUGACAUGCCACUAACGAAGUAGAGAUACAUUAGGUGCCCGUAAGGGAAAGUGGACACAGGUGCUGCAUGGCUGUCGUCAGCUCGUGUCGUGAGAUGUUGGGUUAAGUCCCGCAACGAGCGCAACCCUUGUCUUUAGUUGCUACGCAAGAGCACUCUAAAGAGACUGCCGGUGACAAACCGGAGGAAGGUGGGGAUGACGUCAAGUCCUCAUGGCCCUUAUGGGUAGGGCUUCACACGUCAUACAAUGGUGCAUACAGAGGGUUGCCAACCCGCGAGGGGGAGCUAAUCUCAGAAAAUGCAUCGUAGUCCGGAUCGUAGUCUGCAACUCGACUACGUGAAGCUGGAAUCGCUAGUAAUCGCGGAUCAGAAUGUCGCGGUGAAUACGUUCCCGGGUCUUGUACACACCGCCCGUCACACCAUGGGAGUGGGUUUUGCCAGAAGCCGUUAGCCUAACCGCAAGGAGGGCGACGACCACGGCAGGGUUCAUGACUGGGGUGAAGUCGUAACAAGGUAGCCGUAUCGGAAGGUGCGGCUGGAUCACCUCCUUUCU